RNAcentral lists this long non-coding RNA (539 nucleotides) under Erythranthe guttata (spotted monkey flower). Its description in RNAcentral is "long non-coding RNA (EGUT_LNC002226)". The record is from RNAcentral. Lineage: Eukaryota; Viridiplantae; Streptophyta; Magnoliopsida; Lamiales; Phrymaceae.
AACUAUUGAUUAGAGUGGAUUUCAUCCUCUUUCCAGUUAUUAAAUCUAUGCAGAGUCGAUUUCGCCCUUUUCAGUUAUUAAAUUCACUAUUGCGCAGAGUGAAUUUCGCCCUUUCCAGUUAUUACCAUUGCGUAGAGCGAAUUUUUUUCUUUGUGAUUGUAAAGGUGAAAAUCCAUGACAACCGGUGGGUGGGGUGUCUCGGCGGUGAAGGUGAAGUGGCAUGAUGGAUUUUCUGGGAAAGUAGUGGAAGCGAGAUUCUUAGACGUUAAUUAUGGAAGAGAUAUCUACGAAUCUUUAGGCUUGCGGGAUUUGCAUAUCUCCCCAAUUAUUAUUUUGAUUUUCAGUAAUAGUAAAUAGGGGUAUUUUGGAUAUAUAUAUAUAUAUAUAUAUAUAAUAGAAUAUGUAUUAAUUAAUAUUCAAAAAAAAAUGUAUGUUAGCAAUUUUAUAAUAUUCGUAAAUUUAAUAUCUUUUUUGUCUUUAUAGUUUUAAUUGUUUUCUUUCAUGACUUGAAUUCUUCAAGUGUUUCUCAUCAUCGCAAC